RNAcentral lists this microRNA precursor (93 nucleotides) under Canis lupus familiaris (dog). Its description in RNAcentral is "mir-8799 microRNA precursor family". It matches the Rfam family "mir-8799 microRNA precursor family". Lineage: Eukaryota; Metazoa; Chordata; Mammalia; Carnivora; Canidae. RNAcentral also lists the same sequence under 1 other name. The record is from Rfam by way of RNAcentral.
AGGGGGAGCACCGGAUCUUUAGCUGUGUUCCUCAGCGCCCUGGGCUCCGGGGCCUGCGCCACUGGAAUCGCGCUCUGGGGCGUGCAGCCCCCU